CCUAUAUAAACUAACAAUUUAUCACAUUCUAACGGAGACAAAAAAACCUUUUUUUUCAAACCCUUAUUUCUUCAUUCUCUCCACUCACGUAUAUACAAUUUUUUUUCUAUCUUUUUCAGGAACCAAUUCUACAAGUUACCCCAAGAGGCCAUGAAUUAACAUAACAAUAUAGAAUUUCCAUAUAGAAUUUCUAUAAUGAAUUUCCAUCACACUAACUAUAACACAAAAAAUUAACACUUGUACCAGUUUUAUUGUUUUAUUGAUUGUUGCAGAAAAGAGAACCAGUAAAGAGGAGGACUUGGCACCAAAGGACGCUAACAGAAUCAUAAAAACCGUGGCAUUCCAGAUUUCUACAGACUGAGAAUUCGAUCAAUUCAAGCCAUUCUGAGGAUCGUAGAAGCUAGCUCGACACUCUCUGAGGGAGAUUGGAUCGGUAUCAGCGUCCAGAACAUCCAGAACCGUCUCUACAAAAGCCGCGUUGCAGGUAUCACGAUCCACCAUAGUUAGGGUUCGUAUUCUUGAUUUUGGGGAAAAGUAUUUAGAAGCAAUUUCAUGCCAAAUUAAGGAGCUCAUUGGAUUCGUGAGGCUCUGUGCAUUCCGUCUGUACCAUUUUUUCGUGUUUAUUUGCAUUGAUUUGCAGGUUUUGAGGAGGAGAGCAAAUAGCCACACCUAAAAAUCGCGGCUAAAAAGUCUGUGUGUUUGUAGAAAACACGAAGGUUGAAGAGAAACAGUGCUGGCCGCGAAACGUGUUGUUUUAAUUUUUUUUUUAUUUAUUUGAUUUAUUAUUAUUAUUUGUAUAUAUUAUUUAGUGAAGGAUAAUUUGCAGCGAACGAAAAGUGGCGUAGUGGCAAAGAGUAGCGUCUUAAGGUCUUCUCACUCAAGGGCACGGGUUCGAACCCUGCCUCUUGCAUCUUAUUUUGUUAAAUUUUCAAACUCUUGUUUCUUGCAGAUCCAGUGUGUAUGGGAUGCGCACCCUUACCGUAUGACCUCAUCGUUUCACCAUAGGAUGACCAGAUCUUCAUCAGAGCUAGAUCUGAAGGCCACAAGAAUGAAGUCCACCAUACACCUUCGAGGACUCCACCACACAAGAUCCUAAGCUAAGCUUUUUUUAAUUUUAUUUAUUUAUUAUUAUAUAAACUGUUUUUAGUUAUAUAUAUAUACAUAUAUGUUUGUUUAUAUAUAAAAUAAAACUUUUUAUUUUUUUUAAAAAAAACUUUUUAUUUUUAGUUAUUUAUUUAUAAUAAAACAUUUAUCUUAUUUAUUUAAUUAUUUUAUUUAAUUGGUUUUAUCUAGUUGAAUAUUUUUUAGAAAACCAUGAAUAAUUGUUUUAAUUAAUGAAAAUUAUGAGAAUGUCAUACAUUUUAAUCUUUUUUUUUUUGCCAUCGAUUUAAUUAAUUAGGUCGCGGACCAAUAAUUAAUUAAAUCGUUUGUGUUUUCUUAUUUAAAUUCGUACCCUAAUCAGGGUUUACGAAGAACAUGCCCUACACUAAAUAUUUCUUUUACGCCUUUUCAGGGUUAUCAACAUGGUUCCUUCCGACAACGCGCCUGAUCCAGACUCAAAGCUAAGUAUCCUAUUUAUUAAAAUUAAAAGUCAAUUUUGUUUCCUUUUAAAAUCGGGGUUUGUCUUGCCUUCAUACUUUUUGCCUUUGCCUUUUUCAGGGGUACCUUCGAGACUUCCCGCCAACCAUAUCAGAUCAAAUUCGAAGCUAAGCGCCCAUUUGCUUUAUUUAUUUUAAAUUUCUUUAUUCUUUAUUUUUAGGGUUAAUUCUGUUUGCCUCCGAACUGAUAAUGCACUCACCCUUCUGUUUAUUCUUUCUUUUCCAAUUUUCAGGGUUUGUCGAUUGCCGAAGCCACGAGUAUUGGUAACCCUAAACCUUAACCCUGAUAUUUUCUGUCUUUUAUUAUUACUUAUGCCAAACCCUAUUGGGGAUCCGCUGGUUUCAUUUUCCCCUUCCCCAUAUUGCUAUUAUUACUGCUUUAUGUUAAACUGCGUGGUUAGUAAUCUUAGGGAGUGCAACUCUGAACUGAACUAGAGUCAUUAAAUUACAAGAUAAUAUAUUUCGAAUUGAACUAUGUGAUUGUUGCACACACGCACACUUUUGGGGUAACCUCUCUGUUGCCUUGCUGCUGUUGCCUUGUUGCCUGUUGCCUUGUGUUAUUUUGCAGAAUAGCCAGUCCCUCGAAUACGAGGAUACCUUAGCCAGUUGCCUCGAUUUAGAUCAUGGUCCCUAAUGAUGCUGCCUUCGAUAUGCAUGAUCUCGACCCUCGGAAGUUGCCUACGAAAAAGGCUAAGGUAUCCUCUGGCUGCCUACGAAAGGCUAUUCUGAUCUUUCCCUUAGACUACCUGCCUCCCUAUGGCAUGGGUCAGUCUUAUGGCGAAGGAUAUUUCAAUGACCCUUCAAACCUCCAAAUGAAAGGCUUCCUGCCCUCUUAUGGCAAGGAUAGACCCUUUCACCCUGAAAGGCUAAAAGAACAGAUUCUCAAAACUAUAAGGUAAAUUGCCCUUAAUUGCUUUGCCUUGCUCUAAAAACAUUUUCAAAUAUUCUUUCUCAUAAUUCUUCAAUAUGGCUACGCUCAUUUACGAGCUAAAGUCCGUAUUCACUUCUUCUACAUUUCUGAAACAAAAAGAGCAAAGCAAAUUAAGAGCCCAUGGAAAACCAUGGAUGCAAAGGGUGCUUUUUAAACCUUCCCUUUGCAUAAUUUACCCCCCGAACUCAAAAUCUUUUUAAAAGGUAUUUUACUGUUCUUUUAGCCUUUCCGUUAUUUGGAUAAAAUAAAAGUCGGUGGCGACUCUUGCUUACCGUACAUUUU
Long non-coding RNA from Vicia villosa (hairy vetch), 2811 nucleotides. RefSeq lists it as uncharacterized. NCBI's taxonomy places the organism in Eukaryota, Viridiplantae, Streptophyta, Magnoliopsida, Fabales, Fabaceae. The record is from RefSeq and is a predicted model, not a curated record. The transcript has 2 exons.